ACUGCUAAGGAGGAUGGAAUUGAGGUUGGAGCAGAGUAGAAGCACCAUGGCCAGGCUCAGGGAGUGGAACUAGAUGGCACUUUGCAGCUGAUAAACUCCAUGGCAUCUGUCAACCAGGAGAGAUAGGAGAAGAUGUCUUGCUGCUGAACCAACAAAUAUGAAAAAAUAACUCUCCUCAGAUAAACUUAACUUCAUUACUGUUAACCACCUCCAAGGUAUGACUACCCCUCAAAAAGCAAGUGCUUCAUAUUUUAUUGACUGUAUCUUAAAGAGCAAACUGAGAGAAUUUUACAUCAACCAGCAACAAAGAAAUCUGGGCAGUAAACUUUGCUCAUUUAUAUUCUGGAAGCCUGACACCAGCUAGGAAAUAGCUGACACACAGAUGAACGACAAGAUCUAUAGGUCUCAACUGGUUCUGGUCUUGAGAGAUGAUGAACAUGAAUGAAUGACCUGCCUGAUAUUACUUGGUCUGAACGAGUUCAGAACUGCCUGCUGAGCUAUUAGUUAUUUGUGGACGUCGUGCACAAAACCAGGAUCAAAAUGCAUCAGCCCUGUCCAUCAUAGAGUUCUACUGAGAGCAUUUUAAAUGGACCUGCCUGUCAGAAGUGAGAGAGUGACCAUCUCUACUACCACUACAGUUACUUAAGCAGAGGGUCUUGUCAGUGAAUACAGAGAGCAGAGCUCCCCUUGCAGGACUCAGACUAAACCAAGGGAAGACACAGCCCUCUGUUUAAAAUCUUCUGCUGAGAUUCUGCGUUGCAGGAGCCCAGACUACAAUUAUCUAACUCCUCAUUUUUUUUAUGUGUUAAAUGGCAUUACAGACAAACAUGAUUUGAUGUUUUUUUCAUAAACUAGACUUAAAUGUAAUCAUAAGUUUUUCUUCAAGGCAUAAAAUGAUUAUUGAAAGAAUGAAGGAAAACAUGCUAUGCCUCAAUCCAUGAGUUGCAUAAUUCUGUUAACUAAAUAUAAUUAAUGAAGUCUUUGAAGCAGCAUUGCUAGUUGCUUCAAGAGACAGAGAAUAAAACAAGAAUCUACUACCAUGUGACUAACUUUUUGGGUUUUGACUGUUGGCUUUGGCAGUUUUCUUUGGUGGUUAUUUACAUGAGGAGGUCAAAAAUGUCAA
Cyanistes caeruleus (blue tit) is the source of this 1123-nucleotide long non-coding RNA. RefSeq lists it as uncharacterized. Lineage: Eukaryota; Metazoa; Chordata; Aves; Passeriformes; Paridae. The record is from RefSeq and is a predicted model, not a curated record.